RNAcentral lists this ribosomal RNA (471 nucleotides) under uncultured bacterium. RNAcentral describes it as "bacterial SSU rRNA". It matches the Rfam family "Bacterial small subunit ribosomal RNA", at positions 29 to 526 of the family's 1533-position model. The record is from RNAcentral.
AUAAACGCUGGCGGCGUGCCUAACACAUGCAAGUCGAACGCGCACGGAGCGAUCUGUGUGAGUGGCGGACGGGUGAGUAACACGUGGGUACCUACCCUGUGGUGAGGAAUACCGGCGAGAAAUCGCCGACAAUACCGCAUAGGUUUGCGGCAACGCAAACAAAGCUCGCGCAAGCGGGCGCCAGAGGAAGGGCCUGCGGCCGAUUAGCUAGUUGGUAGAGUAAAAGCCUACCAAGGCAACGAUCGGUAGCUGGUCUGAGAGGAUGAUCAGCCACACUGGGAUUGAGAACGGCCCAGACUCCUACGGGGGGCAGCAGUGAGGAAUUUUCGUCAAUGGGGGAAACCCUGAACGAGCAACGCCGCGUGCAGGAAGACGGCCUUCGGGUUGUAAACUGCUUUUCUGUGGGACGAGAACGGACGGUACCAUAGGAAUCAGCCCCGGCUAACUACGUGCCAGCAGCCGCCGUAAGAC